GACGGAGGAUGCAAGCGUUAUCCGGAAUGAUUGGGCGUAAAGCGUCCGCAGGUGGCAGUUCAAGUCUGCUGUCAAAGACCGGGGCUUAACUUCGGAAAGGCAGUGGAAACUGAACAGCUAGAGUAUGGUAGGGGCGGAGGGAAUUCCUGGUGUAGCGGUGAAAUGCGUAGAGAUCAGGAAGAACAUCGGUGGCGAAGGCGCUCUGCUGGACCAUAACUGACACUCAGGGACGAAAGCUAGGGGAGCGAAUGGG
RNAcentral lists this ribosomal RNA (253 nucleotides) under uncultured bacterium. RNAcentral describes it as "partial 16S ribosomal RNA". It matches the Rfam family "Bacterial small subunit ribosomal RNA", at positions 524 to 776 of the family's 1533-position model. The record is from RNAcentral.